UAUUUUGACUAUACAAAGGUAUUGUAAUAAGACUUUAAUUGAGUGCUAAAAGAAUGGAGUUUCAAAAAAAGUCUAUCUUGAAUUCAAAAAUUGAAUUUAUUUUUAUUUGUGAAGAAACAAUAAUUAAAAUUAAGGACAAGAAGACCCUAAGAAUUUUUAAUUUUGUAUAUAUAUAUUUAUAUAUACAAAAUUUUAAUUGGGGCGAUUAAAAAAUAUAGUUAACUUUUAAUUUUAAAAAAUGAUCCAUUAUUAGUGAUUUAAUGUAAAAAAUACUCUAGGGAUAACAGCGUAAUAAUUUUAGAUAGAUCUUAUAGAAAAAAUAGUUUGUGACCUCGAUGUUGGAUUAGGAUUCUUUUUUAAUGAAGAAGUUAAAAUAAGAAGUUUGUUCAACUUUUAAAAUCC
Molecule: ribosomal RNA, 402 nt
Filed under: Haemaphysalis flava
Lineage: Eukaryota; Metazoa; Arthropoda; Arachnida; Ixodida; Ixodidae
Description: partial 16S ribosomal RNA
Source: RNAcentral